Molecule: ribosomal RNA, 253 nt
Filed under: uncultured bacterium
Lineage: Bacteria
Description: partial 16S ribosomal RNA
Rfam family: Bacterial small subunit ribosomal RNA
Source: RNAcentral
UACGGAGGGGACUAGCGUUGUUCGGAAUUACUGGGCGUAAAGUGCACGUAGGCGGAUUUGUAAGUCAGGGGUGAAAUCCCGGGGCUCAACCUCGGAACUGCCUUUGAUACUGCAAAUCUCGAGUCCGGAAGAGGUGAGUGGAAUUCCUAGUGUAGAGGUGAAAUUCGUAGAUAUUAGGAAGAACACCAGUGGCGAAGGCGGCUCACUGGUCCGGUACUGACGCUGAGGUGCGAAAGCGUGGGGAGCAAACAGG